GUGGGGAAUAUUGGACAAUGGGCGAAAGCCUGAUCCAGCCAUGCCGCGUGUGUGAAGAAGGUCUUCGGAUUGUAAAGCACUUUAAGUUGGGAGGAAGGGCAGUAAGUUAAUACCUUGCUGUUUUGACGUUACCGACAGAAUAAGCACCGGCUAACUUCGUGCCAGCAGCCGCGGUAAUACGAAGGGUGCAAGCGUUAAUCGGAAUUACUGGGCGUAUAGCGCGCGUAGGUGGUUUUGUAAGUUGGAGGUGAAAUCCCCGGGCUCAACCUGGGAACUGACUCCAAAACUGCAUGACUAGAGUACGGUAGAGGGUAGUGGAAUUUCCUGUGUAGCGGUGAAAUGCGUAGAUAUAGGAAGGAACACCAGUGGCGAAGGCGACUACCUGGACUGAUACUGACACUGAGGUGCGAAAGCGUGGGGAGCAAACAGGAUUAGAAACCCUGGUAGUCC
This 450-nucleotide ribosomal RNA is filed under the name uncultured bacterium. RNAcentral describes it as "partial 16S ribosomal RNA". It matches the Rfam family "Bacterial small subunit ribosomal RNA", at positions 354 to 796 of the family's 1533-position model. The record is from RNAcentral.